AGCCUGCGUGAGAUCAGAAUGGGAGGGACGCCAGUGUCCCUGCUGAGUCACCAGGUGUUUUUAUCACUGCGGUCACACAGCAGAGGCUCUGGUGUUUCUGGUGAAUGUAACCCAGUCCAAACCCUCCACGGGGCUCAUGAUGGCCUGAUGAUCACGUCUGUUUGUCUCUGUGUCUGCGGGGACAGCUUUCCUCAGAGGGACUCGUGUGAGGCUUCAUCGAUUGUGAAGUGACAUUUUCACAUUUUGAAAAUAAUCCCAUUAAGAUUCAGAUGGAAAUUACGUUAUUAAUUUGGGGAGAACGGACACAUUACAAAGCUGAACUUCUCUCUCCAGGAGCAAAACAUGUGCAUUCUCUCACGUGCA
Long non-coding RNA from Suricata suricatta (meerkat), 363 nucleotides. RefSeq lists it as uncharacterized. The record is from RefSeq and is a predicted model, not a curated record. The transcript is spliced from 2 exons. Lineage: Eukaryota; Metazoa; Chordata; Mammalia; Carnivora; Herpestidae.